CUCCUCCCUUCAUGCCUCCAGAGCGGAGAGAUCGAUUUCCCAACCCGCCCGGUUCCAGCCAUUCGGCGGCAGGGAUCAAACACCUAGAAACUGAAAGGCAGGGGGGGAAAGCCAACAAAAGCCGAUAUCUCGCCUCACCUCUCCGAGAGUUAUUGAUGGUGCAUCACAUGUCUGAUCAACAAAGUAAUCAGUGAUAGAGAAGCUCGACCUAUUUGUGUGAACAGGCGUUCAGCGUCAUGAACAUCAACAAAGCCAGCUACAGAUCCAAGUUAACUGAACAACAGCUCAGAUCCAUCCUGAGAAUCGCCACAACAAAACUAAAUCCAGACUUUGAUGCGCUGGCUAAAAAGGGAGACCAACAACACUGU
This is a long non-coding RNA of Hypanus sabinus (Atlantic stingray), 368 nucleotides long. RefSeq lists it as uncharacterized. The transcript has 3 exons. Lineage: Eukaryota; Metazoa; Chordata; Chondrichthyes; Myliobatiformes; Dasyatidae. The record is from RefSeq and is a predicted model, not a curated record.